Molecule: non-coding RNA, 105 nt
Organism: Acanthosepion pharaonis
Lineage: Eukaryota; Metazoa; Mollusca; Cephalopoda; Sepiida; Sepiidae
Source: the annotation of a GenBank genome assembly
UUAUCACAUUGAAUGACCGGUUCCCGUAGGAUCACCGAAGUUAAGCAACGUCGAGCCUAGUCAGUACCUAGACUGGUGAUCACUUGAGGAUACUAGGUGCUGUAA